AGAGGAGGAGGAGGAAGAGGAGGAGGUGGAAGAGGAGGAGGAGGAGGUGGAAGAGAAGGAGGAGGAAGAGGAGAAGGUGGAAGAGAAGGAGGUGGAAGAGGAGGAGGAAGAGGAGUAGGAAGAGAAGGAGGCGGAAGAGGAGGAGGAAGUGGAAGAGAAGGAGGAGGAAGAGGAGGAGGUGGAAGAGGAGGAGGAGGAGGUGGAAGAGAAGGAGGAGGAAGAGGAGGAGGUGGAAGAGACGGAGGAGAAAGAGGAGGAGGUGGAGGUGGAAGAGAAGGAGGAGGAAGAGGAGUAGGAGGAAGUGGAAGAGAAGGAGGAGGAAGAGGAGGAGGAGCUUCUGUAUGGUGAGGUGACGUUCACACCGAACCACUCAAACAAUCCGCAGGAGAUUCAGGAGCAGUGUGUUUUCUAGGGGUGUAACAGUUCACAUAAAAAAAAAAAAAAACUGUACGGUUCGGCACACACUCAUACCACAGUUCAACUUUAAUCUGACAAGGCAUUUGUAAUAUGGUUUGGUAAAAAUUAAAAAAAUGUGGUUAAUGUUUCUGUCAGUGGAUACACAU
Molecule: long non-coding RNA, 563 nt
Organism: Cyprinus carpio carpio
Lineage: Eukaryota; Metazoa; Chordata; Actinopteri; Cypriniformes; Cyprinidae
Source: Ensembl